RNAcentral lists this transfer RNA (82 nucleotides) under Megalops atlanticus (tarpon). RNAcentral's name for it is "tRNA-OTHER". The record is from RNAcentral. Lineage: Eukaryota; Metazoa; Chordata; Actinopteri; Elopiformes; Megalopidae.
AAUACCAGGCCAAGUGGUGAAGGCUUUGGAGUUAAAAUACAAUGGGCCCAUGUCCAUGUGGGUUCAAGCCCCACUCCUAAUA